UCGGCAGGCUUACCCAUGCAAGUCGAGCGCCCCGCAAGGGGAGCGGCAGACGGGUGAGUAACGCGUGGGAAUCUACCUUUUGCUACGGAAUAACUCAGGGAAACUUGUGCUAAUACCGUAUGUGCCCUUCGGGGGAAAGAUUUAUCACGCUAAAGGAUGAGCCCGCUUUUGGAUUAGCUAAAUGAGUGGGGUAAAGGCCCACCAAGGCGACGAUCCAUAGCUGGUCUGAGAGGAUGAUCACCCACACUGGGACUGAGACACGGCCCACACUCCUACGGGAGGCACCAGUGGGGAAUAUUGGACAAUGGGCACAAGCCUGAUCCACCCAUGCCGCGAGAGUGAUGAAAGCCCUACGGUUGUAAAGCUCUUUCGCCGGUGAAGAUAAUGGACGGCAACCGGAUAAGAAGCCCCGGCUAACUUCAUGCCAACGACCGCGGUAAUACGAAAAGGGGCUAGCGUUGUUCGGAUUUACUGGGCGUAAAGCGCACGUAGGCGGACUUUUAAUUCGAGGGUGAAAUCCCAGAGCUCAACUCUGGAACUGCCUUUGAUACUGGAAGUCUUGAGUAUGGCAGAUGUGAAUGGAAUUCCGAUUGUAGAGGUGAAAUUCAUAGAUAUUCGGAGGAACACCAGUGGCGAAGGCGGCUCACUGGACCAUUACUGACGCUGAGGUGCGAGAAGCGUGGGGGAUCAAAAGAGGAUUAAAUGCCCUGGUAGUCCACGCCGUAGACGAUGAAAUGUUAGACCGUNUGGGCGGUUUACACUUCGGCGGCGCAGCUAACGCAUUAACACAUUCCGCCUGGGGGAAGUACGGUCGCAAGAUUAAACACUUCUAAAAGGAAAUUCGACGGGGGCACGCACAACCGGUGGAAGCAUGUUGGAUUUAGAUUUCUGAACGCGACGCGCACAACCUUUACCAGACCCUUGACAUACCAGUUCGCGGACACACACAUAUGUCUAUUCAGUUCGGCUGGACCGGAUACAGGGGCUGCAUGGGCUGUCUUUCACCUUCGGGUCGUANNAUGUUUGGGUUAAUGCCNNGCAACGAAGCGCCACCCCUCGCCCUUUAAAUUUCCCUUCUUUUUUACCUUGNGCCCCUUCNCAAAGNGNACUUCCCCCUUUAAAUUUAACCUUUCGA
RNAcentral lists this ribosomal RNA (1135 nucleotides) under Brucella pseudogrignonensis. RNAcentral's name for it is "bacterial SSU rRNA". It matches the Rfam family "Bacterial small subunit ribosomal RNA", at positions 39 to 1139 of the family's 1533-position model. Lineage: Bacteria; Pseudomonadati; Pseudomonadota; Alphaproteobacteria; Hyphomicrobiales; Brucellaceae. The record is from RNAcentral.